This 816-nucleotide ribosomal RNA is filed under the name uncultured bacterium. RNAcentral's name for it is "bacterial SSU rRNA". It matches the Rfam family "Bacterial small subunit ribosomal RNA", at positions 60 to 867 of the family's 1533-position model. The record is from RNAcentral.
AGUCGAGGGGCAGCAUGAUUUGUAGCAAUACAGAUUGAUGGCGACCGGCGCACGGGUGAGUAACGCGUAUGCAACUUACCUAUCAGAGGGGGAUAGCCCGGCGAAAGUCGGAUUAAUACCCCAUAAAACAGGGGUCCCGCAUGGGAAUAUUUGUUAAAGAUUCAUCGCUGAUAGAUAGGCAUGCGUUCCAUUAGGCAGUUGGCGGGGUAACGGCCCACCAAACCGACGAUGGAUAGGGGUUCUGAGGGGAAGGUCCCCCACAUUGGUACUGAGACACGGACCAAACUCCUACGGGAGGCAGCAGUGAGGAAUAUUGGUCAAUGGCCGAGAGGCUGAACCAGCCAAGUCGCGUGAAGGAAGAAGGAUCUAUGGUUUGUAAACUUCUUUUAUAGGGGAAUAAAGUGGAGGACGUGUCCUUUUUUGUAUGUACCCUAUGAAUAAGCAUCGGCUAACUCCGUGCCAGCAGCCGCGGUAAUACGGAGGAUGCGAGCGUUAUCCGGAUUUAUUGGGUUUAAAGGGUGCGUAGGUGGUGAUUUAAGUCAGCGGUGAAAGUUUGUGGCUCAACCAUAAAAUUGCCGUUGAAACUGGGUUACUUGAGUGUGUUUGAGGUAGGCGGAAUGCGUGGUGUAGCGGUGAAAUGCAUAGAUAUCACGCAGAACUCCGAUUGCGAAGGCAGCUUACUAAACCAUAACUGACACUGAAGCACGAAAGCGUGGGGAUCAAACAGGAUUAGAUACCCUGGUAGUCCACGCAGUAAACGAUGAUUACUAGGAGUUUGCGAUACAAUGUAAGCUCUACAGCGAAAGCGUUAAGUAA